Molecule: unclassified non-coding RNA, 253 nt
Filed under: uncultured Salinisphaerales bacterium
Lineage: Bacteria; Pseudomonadati; Pseudomonadota; Gammaproteobacteria; Salinisphaerales
Description: contains 16S-23S intergenic spacer region
Rfam family: Bacterial small subunit ribosomal RNA
Source: RNAcentral
UACGUAGGGCGCAAGCGUUAAUCGGAUUUACUGGGCGUAAAGCGUGAGUAGGUGGCGGCGUAAGUCGGUUGUGAAAUCCCUGGGCUCAACCUGGGAAUUGCAUCCGAUACUGCGUUGCUAGAGUUCGGUAGAGGACGGCGGAACUCUCGGUGUAGCGGUGAAAUGCGUAGAUAUCGAGAGGAACAUCGAUGGCGAAGGCAACCGUCUGGGCCUGAACUGACACUGAGACACGAAAGCGUGGGUAGCAAACAGG